GGCAAGUGGCGGCUGGAUGGUGGUGGUUGCCGGUUAGAAUAGGGAGAGAGGUGGUCGGUUAGAAGACGUUUGGAUGGUGGUGGUUGCCGGUUGAUGGUGGUGGUGUGGCCGCGAUAGUGGUGGUAGUACCCAUCUAUUUCGCUCAGAUCUGUUUGUGAUGGUGGCGGCAGCAAUUGGCGGUGGUGAUGGGGUUAGAUGGUGGUGGGUAGGCGGCAAGUUUAUAGAGAGAUAAAGUGAAUGGUGUGGUUCUGGUUAGCUUCGAUUCAGGUCCGGUUUGUUACAAAUUUGAUUUGGGUUUACUUGGUUUCGGGUCUAGUGGGGUUUAUAUUUAAUACUUCAUUGAUUGUUGCGUUUUGAAUAUUAUAUCGACAACUUGUGUUGUCGGGGUCGUCCAAAAACAGAGGAAACUCUGCCCGUUUUUCGUAAAAUUUCCGUAAAGCGAAACACGUUAAUUUUAUAAAUCGAUUUUUUUGAUUUUUUAGAAUUUUUAUAAUUUUUUAGAUUUUUUUAUAUUUUUUAGAAUUUUUUUGAUUUUUUUGAUUUUUUAGAAUUUUUUUGAUUUUUUUAUAAUUUUUUAGAAUUUUUUUGAUUUUUUAGGAUUUUUAUGAUUUUUUUUAUAACUACAGGGACUGUUUGUGUAAUAAAUAAAACUUAAAACUAGUAACUUAUAACUACAGGGACUGUUUGUGUAAUAAAUAAAACUUAAAAACUAACUUCAGUUAAAAAAAACUAACGGAGGUCCAUUGAGUACCAACAUAUUGAAACGUAGGAUUAUUAAUUACCAAAUAUGUAGGUAUGAUUAUUAUUUACCAAUGGGGCAAAGGUUGGUUUAUUAAAAACCAAUUUUCCUAUAAUUAAUUGCAAAAUCUGGUGUUUAUAAGGUUAAUUGACUCUAAAUGUUUUAUUGAUGCUAAUGAUGAUCAUAUCCUUGUUGUGUGAUAAGUAUUUACUUUUGCUAUUUGUCUAGUAUUUAAGCUUCAGUAAUGUUAUUUUGGAUGAAAACAAAAGUUAUACAAAUUAAAUCUAUGAAUAAAUAUAACACAUACAGGGAGGGUUAAAAUAAAAUCUAUUAAUUGAGACAAAAGAAACUUUUCUAGCUUUUGAAUAAUAUUUCAAAAAAUGGUUGGAUUGUUCGUCUCUUAGAGUACCUUUAAUGUGGCAAUGUGUUGGCAUCCAUAUAAUGUUGUAAAUAUCAAUAUGAACCGGUCGGUUAUAUCAGUUAAACCGGAUAUUGGACAUAUGUCCGGUACGAUAAAGGCCGGUAAAACUCAAAUACGGUUUGUCUAGUGUACCACCGGUAAAUCCAGUUUUACCGGUUCAAAUCAUUGAACCAGUUUGUAUUAUCUUAAAAUUUAAUUUUUUGAUUAUAAUAAAAUACGAUAUUAAGUUAAUACCGACAUUCCAUUGUUGGUAAUUAACCUAGUACCU
Molecule: long non-coding RNA, 1428 nt
Filed under: Helianthus annuus (common sunflower)
Lineage: Eukaryota; Viridiplantae; Streptophyta; Magnoliopsida; Asterales; Asteraceae
Description: hypothetical non coding rna
Source: RNAcentral